GAAACAAAGAUAAUUGAAUAAGCUUCUAACUUAAAUCAAAAGCAGUGAAACUCUGUUUAUGUUUCU
RNAcentral lists this transfer RNA (66 nucleotides) under Cucujoidea sp. 21 KM-2017. Its description in RNAcentral is "tRNA-Ser". Lineage: Eukaryota; Metazoa; Arthropoda; Insecta; Coleoptera. The record is from RNAcentral.